Chlorocebus sabaeus (green monkey) is the source of this 102-nucleotide small nuclear RNA. The record is from Ensembl. NCBI's taxonomy places the organism in Eukaryota, Metazoa, Chordata, Mammalia, Primates, Cercopithecidae.
GUGCUCACUUCGGUGGCACAUAUACUAAAAUUGGAACAACACAGAGAUGAUUCACAUGGCCCCUGCACAAGGAUGACACACAAAUAAGCAUUCCAUAUUUUU